CAAAAAAAAUAAAUAAGUAAAAUAGCAACUUGUUUUGAUAAUUAUGCUUUGAUAAUUAUGCCCCAACCAUAACUAAUUUCCAAUUAGUCUUCCCUGAAAUGCAGAAUAUAAUUGUUUUUGGUACUAAAACAAAGUUAUCUGGCGAAUUAACAUUAUUGUCCUAAGUUAUUGAGAAAACAUUCAUAUUUAAAAUACAUAGUCUUAAGUAGUUGCCUAAAGACCUAAUUUGUAUAUUCACCUACAUAACUAACCUGUUAGAUUACCUCUAUAUACAAAAAUAGGUGUUACUAGUAAUUUUACAUAUUAAAUGUGUCCAAGGUACUUAUUUCAAAUUGAGAAACUGAUAUAAAAACAAAAACACACUAUGGCAUCAAAUUAUUUAGGUAUAAAUCAGGGCAGUCUCUACUUUGCUAUACACUUUGGUAAAUUUUAAAUACUUUUUUAACCAAUUCACCACACAGAAAAUCUAGAAAAUAUAUACACUAAUGUCUCCAUAUGCUAAUAUGCUAGUCACAAGUGGCUAUGUUUAUAAUAAAGCAUUGUAAAAAAUAAAUGAUUUUUGAAUGUGUCUACCAGAUGAAUUGUUUUUCUGGAAAAUCGGCUCAAGAAAAUGCUGAAAAAUUCAUUUGCCUUGGAUCUAAUUAAAUCUUAGGAAUACAAGACUUAAGACUUGCUGCAUCCCAGGCUCUACUUCCCAUGAUGAUCACUAAGUUUGGCAUCAGAGCAAAGUUAAUGUUGAGAGAUUUUAUUUCAAUAUAGUUACUGCAGGGCCUACAAAGCAAUAGGAGAUGGGGAAUCUGUAAGAAAAUUUAGGCACAAUAACUCCAAAGGUACUUUUUCCAGGUAAAGAAUUAUAAACUUAGCAUUUUAGUGUUGUGUAACUGUUAAAAUAUUGAUCUUUUCCUAUUUGACCUACUUGAAUUGUAAUAUGUGAUCUGUCUUUUUUGGUUCCUUGAGCAAUACUGAGGACCCUGGUCCCUGUCCCACUCUCCCCUCCACCACCCUAUCCUUGCUAGAUAGGCACUCUACACCUUAAGUCAUGCAUCACCCCUCUUUUGCUUUAUCUUUCUGAUAGUGCCUCCUAUUUGAUGUAGCUGCGAUUUUAAACAUGUACCACUGCACUGAGCCCAAAAGAACUUAAGGGAAAAACUAAGGUUAUGAAAGGGUACUAUAAAGCUCAGCAAUUCCCAACUAGAUGAUAAUAUUUCAAAAUGCCUCACAAAGUUCUGAUCUAUAUACUGCUGCAAAAACUCCAAAAACUUUCCAGGGCUAAUUCACAAAGCAAAUAAUUUCAAUCCAUCUGGGUUAACAAUUUCCAAGUUCCUGCCCAAACUGUUAUUUACAGCCCACUAACUGCAAACAGUUCAUUUCACUUUAAAGAUGUAGGAAAACAAAAAGUCUGGGAGUUUUACUGUAUUUUCAAGGAAAAAUUAUAAAAUUUAAUAAAUUCUGAAAAUAUUUUAAAGCUCAGGAAAGAUUUCCCUAUAAAAUAUAGUGGAAUGUAAAUAUAGUACUUGUGGCUAUAAAAAUGGACCCUAGCACAUUUACUUAUCGGUAAAUGCUGUAGGGCUGACUUCAAACUUCAAUUCUCCAAGUUCCAGCCACAGAGGAUUAUAGGUACAGUCAGUGGUGCUC
Perognathus longimembris pacificus (Pacific pocket mouse) is the source of this 1635-nucleotide long non-coding RNA. RefSeq lists it as uncharacterized. Lineage: Eukaryota; Metazoa; Chordata; Mammalia; Rodentia; Heteromyidae. The record is from RefSeq and is a predicted model, not a curated record. The transcript has 3 exons.